AUACCCUUGUAGUNCACGCUGUAAACGAUGAUUACUGGCUAUGUGAAGUGUCGACCCUUCACGUGGCGAAGCUAACGCGUUAAGUAAUCCGCCUGGGAAGUACGGUGGCAACACUAAAACUCAAAGGAAUAGACGGGGACUCACACAAGCGGUGGAUCAUGUGGCUUAAUUCGACAACAAACGAAGAACCUUACCAGGUCUGGAAAUCUGCAUGAAAGCUUUAUGAAAGUAGAGCCCUUCACAAGACAUGCAGACAGGUGCUGCAUGGUUGUCGUCAGUUCGUGUCUUGAGACGUACCGUUAAUUCGGGUAACGAACGCAACCCUUGCCCUGUGUUUUAAAUGUCACAGGGGACUGCCCGAGAUAAUUGGGAGGAAGGCGAGGAUGACGCCAAAUCAGCAUGGCCCUUUGAUGACCUGGGCCGCACACGUGGUACAAUGGCCGGUACAAUGCGCUUCGAUGCCGCAAGGCGGAGAUUAAUCGCACCAAAACCGGUCUCAGUUCGGAUUGAGGUCUGAAACCCGACCUCAUGAAGCUGGAAUCGCUAGUAAUCGCCAAUCAG
This 561-nucleotide ribosomal RNA is filed under the name uncultured Microgenomates group bacterium. RNAcentral's name for it is "bacterial SSU rRNA". It matches the Rfam family "Bacterial small subunit ribosomal RNA", at positions 782 to 1352 of the family's 1533-position model. The record is from RNAcentral.